UACGUAGGGGGCGAGCGUUGUCCGAAGUUACUGGGCGUAAAGCGCGCGUAGGCGGCUCUUUAAGUGGCCGGUGAAAUCCCCGGGCUCAACCCGGGGUGGUCUGGUCAUACUGGGGAGCUGGAGUGUGGGAGAGGAGAGUGGAACUCCUGGUGUAGCGGUGAUAUGCGUAGAGAUCAGGAAGAACACCCGUGGCGAAGGCGGCUCUCUGGACCACAACUGACGCUGAGGCGCGAAAGCCAGGGGAGCGAAC
Molecule: ribosomal RNA, 250 nt
Filed under: uncultured bacterium
Lineage: Bacteria
Description: partial 16S ribosomal RNA
Rfam family: Bacterial small subunit ribosomal RNA
Source: RNAcentral